UACGUAGGGGGCAAGCGUUGUCCGGAAUCAUUGGGCGUAAAGCGCGUGUAGGCGGCCCGGUAAGUCCGCUGUGAAAGUCGGGGGCUCAACCCUCGAAUGCCGGUGGAUACUGUCGGGCUAGAGUGCGGAAGAGGCGAGUGGAAUUCCUGGUGUAGCGGUGAAAUGCGCAGAUAUCAGGAGGAACACCGGUGGCGAAGGCGGGUCUCUGGGCCGAUAUUGACGCUAAGGAGCGAAAGCGUGGGGAGCGAACAGG
This 253-nucleotide ribosomal RNA is filed under the name uncultured bacterium. Its description in RNAcentral is "partial 16S ribosomal RNA". It matches the Rfam family "Bacterial small subunit ribosomal RNA", at positions 524 to 776 of the family's 1533-position model. The record is from RNAcentral.